CUAAGGAAUAUAACGGAAACCCACACAUUCAUCUUAUCUUUGUUUAGUUUUGAGAGGUCUAAUCUUCUCAAUAAAUAGUAUCUUACUGAAGUGCCUAAUAUGUUGGGCCUAUAGCUCAGCUGGUUAGAGCGCACGCCUGAUAAGCGUGAGGUCGAUGGUUCGAGUCCAUUUAGGCCCACUUUUCUUUUGCACAAAUAGUAUAAGAUAUUAGCUCUUGGGGCCUUAGCUCAGCUGGGAGAGCGCCUGCCUUGCACGCAGGAGGUCAGCGGUUCGAUCCCGCUAGGCUCCAUUGCAACUUUAGUUGCGAAAAAAAUUGUUCUUUGAAAACUGGAUAAAGUUAAAAAUCGUAAUUUAAGUAAGAAACCAGAAACACACCGAAAUUUUUAAAUAAUAAGUUUUUUAAGGUUCUCAUCGAAAGAUGAGUAUUAAACAUUAACGAUUAACCAUA
RNAcentral lists this transfer RNA (448 nucleotides) under Carnobacterium alterfunditum. RNAcentral's name for it is "large 16S-23S rRNA intergenic spacer". The stretch from base 105 to 178 matches the Rfam family "tRNA". Lineage: Bacteria; Bacillati; Bacillota; Bacilli; Lactobacillales; Carnobacteriaceae. The record is from RNAcentral.